CACAUGCAAGUCGAGCGAGAAGUUUUGAAAAGAUUCUUCGGAUGAAAUUUAAAAUGGAAAGCGGCGGACGGGUGAGUAACGCGUAGGCAACCUGCCCCAUACAAAGGGAUAGCAUUUGGAAACGAAUAUUAAUACCUUAUGAAACUUAACUAGUGCAUGCUAGGUAGGUCAAAGAUUUAUCGGUAUGGGAUGGGCCUGCGUCUGAUUAGCUAGUUGGUGAGGUAACGGCUCACCAAGGCGACGAUCAGUAGCCGACCUGAGAGGGUGAACGGCCACAUUGGAACUGAGACACGGUCCAAACUCCUACGGGAGGCAGCAGUGGGGAAUAUUGCACAAUGGGGGAAACCCUGAUGCAGCAACGCCGCGUGAACGAUGAAGGCCUUUGGGUCGUAAAGUUCUGUUCUAGGUGAUGAAAACUGACAGUAACCUAGGAGAAAGCCCCGGCUAACUCCGUGCCAGCAGCCGCGGUAAUACGGAGGGGGCAAGCGUUAUCCGGAAUUAUUGGGCGUAAAGGGUACGUAGGUGGCCUUUUAAGCGUAGGGUAUAAGGCAAUGGCUCAACCAUUGUUCGCCCUAUGAACUGGAAGGCUUGAGUGCAGGAGAGGAAAGCGGAAUUCCUAGUGUAGCGGUGGAAUGCAUAGAUAUUAGGAGGAACAUCAGCGGCGAAGGCGGCUUUCUGGACUGCAACUGACACUGAGGUACGAAAGCGUGGGGAGCAAACAGGAUUAGAUACCCUGGUAGUCCACGCCGUAAACGAUGAGCACUAGGUGUCGGGGUCGUAAGGCUUCGGUGCCGUAGUUAACGCAUUAAGUGCUCCGCCUGGGGGAGUACGCACGCAAGUGUGAAACUCAAAGGAAUUGACGGGGACCCGCACAAGCAGCGGAAGCAUGUGGUUUAAUUCGAAGCAACGCGAAAAAACU
Molecule: ribosomal RNA, 919 nt
Filed under: uncultured bacterium
Lineage: Bacteria
Description: bacterial SSU rRNA
Rfam family: Bacterial small subunit ribosomal RNA
Source: RNAcentral